CCUUUUGAUUAUAUAUUUAGGUCUAAUCUGCCCACUGGGUAAUUAAAUGGCCGCGGUAUUUUGACCGUGCGAAGGUAGCAUAAUCAUUAGUUUUUUAAUUGAAAGCUGGAAUGAAAGAUUGAAUGAGAAAAUAACUGUCUCAAAUUAAUUUAAUUAGAAAUUUAUUUUUAAGUCAAAAAGCUUAAAUAUAAUUAAAAGACGAGAAGACCCUAUAGAGUUUAAUAGUUAAUUUUUUUUUAAAUAAAUUGUUUAUAUGAAUUUAAUUAGGAUUAAUUAUUUUGUUGGGGUGACAAAAAAAUUUAAUAAACUUUUUUUAUAUUAUAAUACUUAUAUGUAAAUUUUUGAUCCAAUAAUUUUGAUUAAAAGAUUAAAUUACCUUAGGGAUAACAGCGUAAUUUUUUUUGAGAGUUCUUAUCGAAAAAAAAGAUUGCGACCUCGAUGUUGGAUUAAAAUUAAGUUUUGGUGUAGAAGCUAAAAUUUUAGGUCUGUUCGACCUUUAAAACUUU
RNAcentral lists this ribosomal RNA (506 nucleotides) under Cymatodera marmorata. RNAcentral's name for it is "partial 16S ribosomal RNA". The stretch from base 383 to 506 matches the Rfam family "Bacterial large subunit ribosomal RNA", at positions 2473 to 2597 of the family's 2925-position model. The record is from RNAcentral. Lineage: Eukaryota; Metazoa; Arthropoda; Insecta; Coleoptera; Cleridae.